Molecule: ribosomal RNA, 303 nt
Filed under: uncultured bacterium
Lineage: Bacteria
Description: partial 16S ribosomal RNA
Rfam family: Bacterial small subunit ribosomal RNA
Source: RNAcentral
AGCAGUCGCCGCGGGAAUACAGAGGGUGCGAGCGUUAAUCGGAUUUACUGGGCGUAAAGCGUGCGUAGGCGGCUUUUUAAGUCGGAUGUGAAAUCCUUGAGCUUAACUUAGGAAUUGCAUUCGAUACUGGGAAGCUAGAGUAUGGGAGAGGAUGGUAGAAUUCCAGGUGUAGCGGUGAAAUGCGUAGAGAUCUGGAGGAAUACCGAUGGCGAAGGCAGCCAUCUGGCCUAAUACUGACGCUGAGGUACGAAAGCAUGGGGAGCAAACAGGAUUAGAUACCCCUGUAGUCCCUGUCUCUUAUAC